GUGCAGCAGGCGAGAAACCUCCGCAAUGCGCGCAAGCGCGACGGGGCCAUCCCGAGUGCCGCUCGCUGAGGGCGGCUUUCUCCGGUGUAAGUAGCCGGAGGAAUAAGGAGAGGGCAAGUCUGGUGUCAGCCGCCGCGGUAAUACCAGCUCUCCGAGUGGUGGGGACGAUUAUUGGGCCUAAAGCGUCCGUAGCCGGCUUGACAAGUCUCCCGUUAAAUCCAGCGGCCUAACCGCUGGGCUGCGGGAGAUACUGUCAAGCUUGGGGGCGGGAGAGGCCAGCGGUAUUCCCGGGGUAGGGGUGAAAUCCGUUAAUCCCGGGAGGACCACCAGUGGCGAAGGCGGCCGGCCGGAACGCGCCCGACGGUGAGGGACGAAAGCUGGGGGAGCGAACCGGAUUAGAUACCCCGUA
This 409-nucleotide ribosomal RNA is filed under the name uncultured microorganism. RNAcentral describes it as "bacterial SSU rRNA". It matches the Rfam family "Archaeal small subunit ribosomal RNA", at positions 330 to 742 of the family's 1478-position model. The record is from RNAcentral.